CCUACGGGUGGCAGCAGUGAGGAAUAUUGGUCAAUGGACGAGAGUCUGAACCAGCCAAGUAGCGUGAAGGAUGACUGCCCUAUGGUUUGUAAACUUCUUUUAUAUGGAAAUAAAACGUUCCACGUGUGGGAUUUUGUAUGUACCAUAUGAAUAAGGAUCGGCUAACUCCGUGCCAGCAGCCGCGGUAAUACGGAGGUACCGAGCGUUAUCCGGAUUUAUUGGGUUUAAAGGGAGCGUAGGUGGAUUGUUAAGUCAGUUGUGAAAGUUUGCGGCUCAACCGUAAGAUUGCAGUUGAAACUGGCAGUCUUGAGUACAGUAGAGGUGGGCGGAAUUCGUGGUGUAGCGGUGAAAUGCUUAGAUAUCACGAAGAACUCCGAUUGCGAAGGCAGUUCACUGGACUGAAACUGACACUGAGGCUCGAAAGUGUGGGUAUCAAACAGGAUUAGAUACCCGAGUAGUC
Molecule: ribosomal RNA, 460 nt
Filed under: uncultured bacterium
Lineage: Bacteria
Description: partial 16S ribosomal RNA
Rfam family: Bacterial small subunit ribosomal RNA
Source: RNAcentral